GAUCCUGGCUCAGGAUGAACGCUGGCGGCGUGCUUAACACAUGCAAGUCGAACGAAGCACCUUGAUUCGAUUCUUCGGAUGAAGAUCUUGGUGACUGAGUGGCGGACGGGUGAGUAACGCGUGGGUAACCUGCCUCAUACAGGGCGAUAACAGUUAGAAAUGACUGCUAAUACCGCAUAAGACCACAGCACCGCAUGGUGCAGGGGUAAAAACUCCGGUGGU
RNAcentral lists this ribosomal RNA (222 nucleotides) under uncultured bacterium. Its description in RNAcentral is "partial 16S ribosomal RNA". It matches the Rfam family "Bacterial small subunit ribosomal RNA", at positions 15 to 219 of the family's 1533-position model. The record is from RNAcentral.